RNAcentral lists this long non-coding RNA (451 nucleotides) under Daphnia pulicaria. Its description in RNAcentral is "uncharacterized LOC124312538". Lineage: Eukaryota; Metazoa; Arthropoda; Branchiopoda; Diplostraca; Daphniidae. The record is from RNAcentral.
GCCCACAAAUCAGGUUGUACUUUACUGGCCAAUACUUGCAUCUGGAUAGAUGUAGGAUUGUUCUGAUCAUCUCUAUUUGAGGGUUUUGGCUGAAAAACAUCAGGUGCUUGCGGUGAAAUGUUGAUGCGAGGAAAAUGCAAAACUCACCUUUAUCUGGGCACCUCUGAUAGUUCCCGUACUUUAACAGUAUCUGCAAGAAGCUUUCUAAAACAUCUUGAUGACAGUCUAUAGUAUUUGGUGAUAGCAGCAUAUAGGACUGCGAAGCAGCAGUCCUGAUCAUUGUCAGUUUAAAAGAGGACUUAACAAGACGGACGAGAAAACCGACAUCAUUUCAUAUAUAUCGUACCUUAUGUGCAUUUAACCGCCUGUCUGUCUGUUUCCACUGGCUGUGAACAAAUGCCGAAAUUCAAUAAAUGUUGUGUGGGUCACUACUCUCAUUAAUUUCACGGAA